GACGAACGCUGGCGGCGUGCUUAACACAUGCAAGUCGAACGGAAAGGCCCUGCUUUUGUGGGGUGCUCGAGUGGCGAACGGGUGAGUAACACGUGAGUAACCUGCCCUUGACUUUGGGAUAACUUCAGGAAACUGGGGCUAAUACCGGAUAGGAGCUCCUGCUGCAUGGUGGGGGUUGGAAAGUUUCGGCGGUUGGGGAUGGACUCGCGGCUUAUCAGCUUGUUGGUGGGGUGGUGGCUUACCAAGGCUUUGACGGGUAGCCGGCCUGAGAGGGUGACCGGCCACAUUGGGACUGAGAUACGGCCCAGACUCCUACGGGAGGCAGCAGUGGGGAAUAUUGCACAAUGGGCGGAAGCCUGAUGCAGCAACGCCGCGUGCGGGAUGACGGCCUUCGGGUUGUAAACCGCUUUCGCCUGUGACGAAGCGUGAGUGACGGUAAUGGGUAAAGAAGCACCGGCUAACUACG
This 466-nucleotide ribosomal RNA is filed under the name uncultured bacterium. RNAcentral's name for it is "partial 16S ribosomal RNA". It matches the Rfam family "Bacterial small subunit ribosomal RNA", at positions 28 to 505 of the family's 1533-position model. The record is from RNAcentral.